GGCUUGAUGGUGUAAUGGUAACGUGCUCCGUGUACCUAACGUUCUCAUAUCGGCUGAUGGAAGGUUCGGAGUUCGAUUCUCCGUCAAGCCA
Mycena latifolia is the source of this 91-nucleotide non-coding RNA. The record is from the annotation of a GenBank genome assembly. Lineage: Eukaryota; Fungi; Basidiomycota; Agaricomycetes; Agaricales; Mycenaceae.